This 100-nucleotide non-coding RNA is filed under the name Clostridium mediterraneense. Its description in RNAcentral is "SAM riboswitch (S box leader)". It matches the Rfam family "SAM riboswitch aptamer (S box leader)". Rfam says of the family: The SAM riboswitch is found upstream of a number of genes which code for proteins involved in methionine or cysteine biosynthesis in Gram-positive bacteria. The SAM riboswitch acts at the level of transcription termination control. Lineage: Bacteria; Bacillati; Bacillota; Clostridia; Eubacteriales; Clostridiaceae. The record is from RNAcentral.
CUUAUCAAGAGUGGUGGAGGGACUGGCCCUAUGAAGCCCAGCAACCAAUAGGAAAUUUUUUCUAUAGGUGCUAAUUCCUGCAGUUUUCUGAGAGAUAAGG